GUCGACGAUGAAGCCCAGCUUGCUGGGUGGAUUAGUGGCGAACGGGUGAGUAACACGUGAGUAACCUGCCCUUGACUCUGGGAUAAGCGCUGGAAACGGCGUCUAAUACCGGAUACGACCUGCCCCGGCAUCGGGUGCGGGUGGAAAGUUUUACGGUCAAGGAUGGACUCGCGGCCUAUCAGGUAGUUGGUGAGGUAAUGGCUCACCAAGCCGACGACGGGUAGCCGGCCUGAGAGGGUGACCGGCCACACUGGGACUGAGACACGGCCCAGACUCCUACGGGAGGCAGCAGUGGGGAAUAUUGCACAAUGGGCGAAAGCCUGAUGCAGCAACGCCGCUUGGGGGAUGACGGCCUUCGGGUUGAAAACCUCUUUUAGUAGGGAAGAAGGGCUUCGGCUUGACGGUACCUGCAGAAAAAGCACCGGCUAACUACGUGCCAGCAGCCGCGGUAAUACGUAGGGUGCAAGCGUUGUCCGGAAUUAUUGGGCGUAAAGAGCUCGUAGGCGGUUUGUCGCGUCUGCUGUGAAAACCCGAGGCUCAACCUGGGGCCUGCAGUGGGUACGGGCAGACUAGAGUGCGGUAGGGGAGAAUGGAAUUCCUGGU
RNAcentral lists this ribosomal RNA (603 nucleotides) under uncultured Rathayibacter sp. RNAcentral's name for it is "bacterial SSU rRNA". It matches the Rfam family "Bacterial small subunit ribosomal RNA", at positions 61 to 674 of the family's 1533-position model. The record is from RNAcentral. Lineage: Bacteria; Bacillati; Actinomycetota; Actinomycetes; Micrococcales; Microbacteriaceae.